AAAUUAAAGUGUCGACGUACCGAGUGAAUUGAAUUUCGUAAAGAACGUCGUCGUGUUAAAGUUCAGAAGAGGAAAUAUCGGAAUGGCGAGAAAAAACGGCACGGUCUUGUAAAGAUCCCACGCAGGUCCGAGAUUGUCGCGGUAAGCAGUAUAAAGGCAAAGACCACUCAUCACGAGCAGCAUAAAAAAUCCUGGAAUGAGACCAGCCAUCAGGAAUCCCCAGGGCAUCGUUAACAGGGAGGACCCUAAUAUCGUGUUCCAUAUCGAAAAUCUGAAAUUUAUUAAAACAAAUAAAAUAAACAGAAAACUGUAGAAAAAAUAUACAAGAAAAUAAGAAUCGAUUGAAUCAUAUGAGAAAAUUGAGAUGAACGAAUUUCCUGUGUUCUCAAAACACAAUUCUCAAAAAUUGACAAUAACAUGGAAACUAUUUUCCUCGUCUCAUCAUCGUAUCGAGUCUAAGAUCAAAGUACACGCAUUAUUCAUAAUAUUCCGUAACUCCGUGAGAUCUUAAUCUAAGCCAAUAUUUCGGAUGAAUCAGAGCCAUUUGAUUAAACCCCGAAAGAAUCUGCUACGAAAUUUUGUGAAUUUCCUUCGUGGAAGAGAAAAAAAUUGUAAUGUCUAAACCGUACCCAAGGCUCCCGCUAGAAGCAAUUCGAGGUCUGCAGGCACAUCAUUGACUGUAGGUUACAAAAUUAUUAACAGAGUAAAGGAAAUACGAUUAAACGAAAUGUGAUGGCAAAUGUUUUGCCUCUGAUAAGAAAUGACUAUUGUGAACGCGAAAUAAUAUUUAUCGUCUGGUCAUGCGUAAUUGAGACAGUGUAUGUGACACGCGCGCUUCGGAUUUUUCCAAUAUACAAUAAAUCGAUACACACAUUGGUCGGAUACCAUUGAGCAGAAGAAAACAAUGUUCCACGCCGACAAUAGCACAUUAGGUUUUAUUCUCUUGGUCGUUAAUUUUUCGUCAAUCCAUCCAUCAUUUAUAUCUCAAAAUCCCAAAGAAACACAAAGAUUUCGGGGAUGAGAGAAUGAAAAAUAAAAAGAGUUGAAUCGAGA
Venturia canescens is the source of this 1053-nucleotide long non-coding RNA. RefSeq lists it as uncharacterized. The transcript has 2 exons. The record is from RefSeq and is a predicted model, not a curated record. Lineage: Eukaryota; Metazoa; Arthropoda; Insecta; Hymenoptera; Ichneumonidae.